CACGGGGAACUUGCCUCUAGUACGGCGAGUGAAGCGGCAAAAGCUCAAAUUUGAAAGCUAGCACCUUCGGUGUUCGCGUUGUAAUUUGAAGAUAGUUUCCUUGAGUAGUCCUUUAUCUAUGUUCCUUGGAACAGGACGUCAUAGAGGGUGAGAACCCCGUAUGAUUUUGGAUACUACUCUUUGUGGGAUUCUAUCGAAGAGUCGAGUUGUUUGGGAAUGCAGCUCUAAGUGGGUGGUAAAUUCCAUCUAAAGCUAAAUAUUGGCGAGAGACCGAUAGCGAACAAGUACAGUGAUGGAAAGAUGAAAAGAACUCUGAAGAGAGAGUGAAAAAGUACGUGAAAUUGCUGAAAGGGAAGGGCUUGAGGUCAGACUUGGUGUUUAAUGAUUAUCAGUUCUUCUUGGACUGUGCACUCGUUUUUCACCGGGCCAAUAUCAGUUUUAGCGGUAGAGUACCCCUUGAAAUGUGGCUUCCUUCGGGGAGUGUUAUAGUCUUGGGGAGAUCUACUUGCUGGGACUGAGGACUGCGCUUCGGCAAGGAUAUUGGCGUAAUGACCUUAAGCCGCCCGUCUUGAAC
RNAcentral lists this ribosomal RNA (574 nucleotides) under Saccharomycopsis fibuligera. Its description in RNAcentral is "eukaryotic LSU rRNA". It matches the Rfam family "Eukaryotic large subunit ribosomal RNA", at positions 67 to 659 of the family's 3401-position model. The record is from RNAcentral. Lineage: Eukaryota; Fungi; Ascomycota; Saccharomycetes; Ascoideales; Saccharomycopsidaceae.